This 484-nucleotide ribosomal RNA is filed under the name uncultured bacterium. Its description in RNAcentral is "partial 16S ribosomal RNA". It matches the Rfam family "Bacterial small subunit ribosomal RNA", at positions 29 to 507 of the family's 1533-position model. The record is from RNAcentral.
AUUGAACGCUGGCGGCAUGCUUUACACAUGCAAGUCGAACGGCAGCGCGGGCUUCGGCCUGGCGGCGAGUGGCGAACGGGUGAGUAAUGCAUCGGAACGUGCCCAGUAGUGGGGGAUAGCCCGGCGAAAGCCGGAUUAAUACCGCAUACGACCUGAGGGUGAAAGCGGGGGACCGAAAGGCCUCUUGCUAUUGUAGCGGCCGAGGUCGGAUUAGCUAGUUGGUGGGGUAAAGGCUUACCAAGGCGACGAUCCGUAGCUGGUCUGAGAGGACGACCAGCCACACUGGGACUGAGACACGGCCCAGACUCCUGCGGGAGGCAGCAGUGGGGAAUGUUGGACAAUGGGGGCAAACCUGAUCCAGCCAUGCCGCGUGCGGGAAGAAGGCCUUCGGGUUGUAAACCGCUUUUGUUCGGGAAGAAAUCCUCUGGGCUAAUACCCCGGGGGGAUGACGGUAACGGAAGAAUAAGCACCGGCUAACUACGUG